UACGGAGGGGGCUAGCGUUGUUCGGAAUUACUGGGCGUAAAGCGCACGUAGGCGGCUUUGUAAGUUAGAGGUGAAAGCCCGGGGCUCAACUCCGGAAUUGCCUUUAAGACUGCAUCGCUAGAAUUGUGGAGAGGUGAGUGGAAUUCCGAGUGUAGAGGUGAAAUUCGUAGAUAUUCGGAAGAACACCAGUGGCGAAGGCGACUCACUGGACACAUAUCGACGCUGAGGUGCGAAAGCGUGGGGAGCAAACAGG
Molecule: ribosomal RNA, 253 nt
Filed under: uncultured bacterium
Lineage: Bacteria
Description: partial 16S ribosomal RNA
Rfam family: Bacterial small subunit ribosomal RNA
Source: RNAcentral